GUUGGCGAAGUUUCUUUAUGUCAAUUUCCGUGCUUCCUUCUUAAUGAGAGGGUGACGCAGGUCGGCUAAAGUUUGCUUUUGGUUUUUUAUUUGCUCCAGCGUUUGCUCAUACACUGCUUGUUCGGCUGCGGGUACAUUGAGAUCAAAAGAAGGUUGCUUUGAAGAACUAGCACCACUUCGAUCGUCUCCGGCGGAAGCCUAUCCCACCUAAAUAAAAUCCAUG
Molecule: long non-coding RNA, 223 nt
Filed under: Linum usitatissimum (flax)
Lineage: Eukaryota; Viridiplantae; Streptophyta; Magnoliopsida; Malpighiales; Linaceae
Description: long non-coding RNA (LUSI_LNC002552)
Source: RNAcentral